GACGAACGCUGGCGGCGUGCUUAACACAUGCAAGUCGAACGGAAAGGCCUGCUUUCCCUUGUGGAUUGCGGGUACUCGAGUGGCGAACGGGUGAGUAACACGUGAGUGAUCUGCCCCCAACUUGGGUAUAAGCCUGGGAAACUGGGUCUAAUUCCCGAUAGGACUGCAGGGUGGUGCCUGUGGUGGAAAACGAUUCUCUAGUGGUUGGGGAUGAGCUCGCGGCCUAUCAGCUUGUUGGUGGGGUAAUGGCCUACCAAGGCGGCGACGGGUAGCCGGCCUGAGAGGGUGGACGGCCACAUUGGGACUGAGAUACGGCCCAGACUCCUACGGGAGGCAGCAGUGGGGAAUAUUGCACAAUGGGCGGAAGCCUGAUGCAGCGACGCCGCGUGGGGGAUGACGGCCUUCGGGUUGUAAACUCCUUUCGACCGCGAGGAAGCCACCUGGUUGGAAGGGUGGUGACGGUAGUGGUAGAAGAAGCACCGGCUAACUACGUG
This 494-nucleotide ribosomal RNA is filed under the name uncultured bacterium. RNAcentral's name for it is "partial 16S ribosomal RNA". It matches the Rfam family "Bacterial small subunit ribosomal RNA", at positions 28 to 507 of the family's 1533-position model. The record is from RNAcentral.